Molecule: ribosomal RNA, 481 nt
Filed under: uncultured bacterium
Lineage: Bacteria
Description: bacterial SSU rRNA
Rfam family: Bacterial small subunit ribosomal RNA
Source: RNAcentral
AUUGAACGCUGGCGGCAGGCCCAACACAUGCAAGUCGAGCGGUAGAGAGGUGCUUGCAUCUCUUGAGAGCGGCGGACGGGUGAGUAAUGCCUAGGAAUCUGCCCUAGUGGUGGGGAUAACGUUCGGAAACGGACGCUAAUACCGCAUACGUCCUACGGGAGAAAGCGGGGGAUCUUCGGACCUCGCGCCAUUAGAUGAGCCUAGGUCGGAUUAGCUAGUUGGUGAGGUAAUGGCUCACCAAGGCGACGAUCCGUAACUGGUCUGAGAGGAUGAUCAGUCACACUGGAACUGAGACACGGUCCAGACUCCUACGGGAGGCAGCAGUGGGGAAUAUUGGACAAUGGGCGCAAGCCUGAUCCAGCCAUGCCGCGUGAGUGAUGAAGGCCCUAGGGUUGUAAAGCUCUUUCACCGGUGAAGAUAAUGACGUAACCGGAGAAGAAGCCCGGCUAACUUCGUGCCAGCAGCCGCGGUAAAGUGACUA